Molecule: ribosomal RNA, 492 nt
Filed under: uncultured bacterium
Lineage: Bacteria
Description: partial 16S ribosomal RNA
Rfam family: Bacterial small subunit ribosomal RNA
Source: RNAcentral
AGUGAACGCUGGCGGCAGGCCUAACACAUGCAAGUCGAACGGCAGCACAGUAAGAGCUUGCUCUUACGGGUGGCGAGUGGCGGACGGGAGAGGAAUACAUCGUAAUCUACUUUUUCGUGGGGGAUAACGUAGGGAAACUUACGAUAAUACCGCAUACGACGUACGGGUGAAAGCAGGGGAUAGUUGGGCCGUGUGCGGUUGAAUGAGCCGAUGUCGGAUUAGCUAGUUGGCGGGCUAAAGGCCCAGCAAGGCGACGAUCCGUAGCUGGUCUGAGAGGAUGGUCAGCCGCACUGGAACUGAGACACGGUCCAGACUCCUACGGGAAGCCGCAGUGGGGAAUAUUCGGCAAUGGGCGCAAGCCUGAUCCAGCCAUACCGCGUGGGUGAAGAAGGCCUUCGGGUUGUAAAGCCCUUUUGUUGGGAAAGAAAAGCAGCAGGUUAAUACCCCGCUGUUCUGACGGUACCCAAAGAAUAAGCACCGGCUAACUUCGUG